Molecule: ribosomal RNA, 549 nt
Filed under: uncultured bacterium
Lineage: Bacteria
Description: bacterial SSU rRNA
Rfam family: Bacterial small subunit ribosomal RNA
Source: RNAcentral
AGGGAAUCUUCCGCAAUGGGCGAAAGCCUGACGGAGCAACGCCGCGUGAGUGAUGAAGGUCUUCGGAUCGUAAAACUCUGUUAUUAGGGAAGAACAAAUGUGUAAGUAACUGUGCACGUCUUGACGGUACCUAAUCAGAAAGCCACGGCUAACUACGUGCCAGCAGCCGCGGUAAUACGUAGGUGGCAAGCGUUAUCCGGAAUUAUUGGGCGUAAAGCGCGCGUAAGCGGCUUCUUAAGUCUGAUGUGAAAGCCCACGGCUCAACCGUGGAGGGUCAUUGGAAACUGGGAAACUUGAGUGCAGAAGAGGAAAGUGGAAUUCCAUGUGUAGCGGUGAAAUGCGCAGAGAUAUGGAGGAACACCAGUGGCGAAGGCGACUUUCUGGUCUGUAACUGACGCUGAUGUGCGAAAGCGUGGGGAUCAAACAGGAUUAGAUACCCUGGUAGUCCACGCCGUAAACGAUGAGUGCUAAGUGUUAGGGGGUUUCCGCCCCUUAGUGCUGCAGCUAACGCAUUAAGCACUCCGCCUGGGGAGUACGACCGCAAGGUUG